This 67-nucleotide transfer RNA is filed under the name Oryzias javanicus (javanese ricefish). RNAcentral describes it as "tRNA-Trp". It matches the Rfam family "tRNA". Rfam says of the family: Transfer RNA (tRNA) molecules are approximately 80 nucleotides in length. Their secondary structure includes four short double-helical elements and three loops (D, anti-codon, and T loops). Lineage: Eukaryota; Metazoa; Chordata; Actinopteri; Beloniformes; Adrianichthyidae. The record is from RNAcentral.
GAGGCUUAGGAUAAACAGACCGAGGGCCUUCAAAGCCCUAAGCGGGAGUGAAAGCCUCUCAGCCUCU